RNAcentral lists this ribosomal RNA (246 nucleotides) under uncultured bacterium. RNAcentral describes it as "partial 16S ribosomal RNA". It matches the Rfam family "Bacterial small subunit ribosomal RNA", at positions 1246 to 1500 of the family's 1533-position model. The record is from RNAcentral.
GCAGCUAGCCAGUGAUGGCAUGCGAAUCUCGAAAGCCUAUCUCAGUUCGGAUUGGAGGCUGAAACCCGCCUCCAUGAAGUUGGAUUCGCUAGUAAUCGCGCAUCAGCCAUGGCGCGGUGAAUACGUUCCCGGGCCUUGUACACACCGCCCGUCAAGCCAUGGGAGCCGGGGGUGCCUGAAGUUCGUUACCGCAAGGAUCGACCUAGGGCAAAACUGGUGACUGGGGCUAAGUCGUAACAAGGUAAC